This 212-nucleotide long non-coding RNA is filed under the name Lathyrus oleraceus (garden pea). Its description in RNAcentral is "Pisum sativum (pea) long non-coding RNA (PSAT_LNC006512)". Lineage: Eukaryota; Viridiplantae; Streptophyta; Magnoliopsida; Fabales; Fabaceae. The record is from RNAcentral.
UGAAACAGGGGUUCCAGAUGACUUUGGGUUCCAGAUGGCUUUGGGUUCCAGAUGACUCUGAUUUGUGGUUCCGAAUUCAUGCCGAAGCUCUGAUCCUGUGUCUUGAGAUACACAACCAACCAGUCAUAUUUGCAUCAUUUGCAUCAUAGCAUGUUUAUUGUCAAAAAAAUAAUGCAGUAAAAAAAGGAAAUGAAAAAAGAAAAGAGAAAAGA